Lolium perenne is the source of this 1764-nucleotide RNA transcript. RefSeq lists it as uncharacterized. The record is from RefSeq and is a predicted model, not a curated record. Lineage: Eukaryota; Viridiplantae; Streptophyta; Magnoliopsida; Poales; Poaceae.
GCUUGGGUAGAGGUCGUGACAAGGUAGGACCGUAGGAGCAAAAGGAAGACGGCGGCUGGCGGCUGCCAUGGACGGGGGUGGAGAACGGGAGAGCACCAAGCACGAGGUGGAGGCGGAGUACCACUGCCACGACUUCGACUGGGAGGACCUCCGGGCGGAUGUGGAAGCUAACCCUUCUUUCUCCUAUCACCUGUGCCCUUUCCCCACGACCACGACCACCGACUCGCCGCCAGCACCGCCGUCGGAGGCCUGGAAAAGCUUCCACCGUCGCCACGCCUCCGGCAAGUUCUUCAAGGAAAGGAGAUAUCUGCUGAAGGAAUUUCCUGAACUACUUAAGAGCAAAGAAUGUGCAAAGGUUCUAGAGGUGGGGUGUGGGAAUGGAAGCACCGUUGUAUCAAUUCUACGAUGUAGUCCAAGCAUCACUGUCUAUGCUUGUGAUUGUAGUGAAGAUACUCUACAGAAAGCAAAUGAGAUUGUGUUCAAUACACAAGGGGUUGAUGCCAAGGAUAGGUUCCACCCUUUUUUACUGGAUGUUUCUAAAGAAGCAUUUCCAGAUUGGCUGUUCUGUAAUUGGUGUCAAAGUUUAGGUGCAAAGGCUGUUGACCUCUCACUAGAUUCAGGUCAUCAUAAUAUAAGGAAUGAACAACCAAUUGUGCUGAAGGAAAAUCAGUGUUGUAUUCACGGCAUAGAUGUUAUUACUAUGAUAUUUACGUUGUCAGCCAUACCAUAUGACAUAAUGUUAGCUACUCUACGGCGGUGUGUUUCUGUUCUGAAACCAGGUGGCCUUGUUCUAUUCAGGGAUUACGGCAUCUAUGACAUGACGAUGCUUCGAUUUUUGCCUCACCAAAGAGUGGGGUUUCGGGAAUAUAUUCGUGCUGAUGGUACCUUCUCGUACUACUUCUCGUUGGACACUGUGAGAGAACUCUUUGAUGCUGCUGGACUACUGGAGUUGGAGCUCGAAUACUGCUGUGUGAGAUCAGUGAACAGAAAGAAUGGGAAGAACAUGCGACGUGUAUGGGUGCACGGCAAAUUUCAAAAGCCCACAAGUUAACGCCGUAUUGAGAUGCUGAGCAUUGGCGCACCUGCUAAAGCCUAAAGUUGUGCCGCUGCUUGAGAAACUCUUCUCCAACACCUCGCCGCCGUCGCCAUCUGCCCAAGACCUGAACUUCGUAGUUUCCCUGGCCCCUGUGCCUUUUGUGUUCCCUUGGUGUGUGUAAACUGUGUUUGUUGGUUUGGCUCUUGGGGCUCAGUCCGUAUCCUAAGAUGGUAAUCCUAGCAUAACCUUGUUACAGUUUCAGCUGUGGGGUUUUAUUAAUUUGAAGACGGGCAUGUAGUGCCUUCUGUCUAAAAAAAGGGAGGAAGGGAGCUGAGCAAACGCGUAUCUCCAUUUGGGCAUAGCUGGCUGGAGUAGUUUACUUGGUGGGUGAGGAAGCGAGGCCCUCCAGCUCAGAGCGAACACACGGGACGCCACAGUUUUAGUGAAGCAACUUCCAGUUGAGGUCAUCUUUGAGACUGACAUGCUCAAACAAAGUGCAGCGAUGUCUGUGGACACGAAAAGUUGGUUAUUGGAGAAGGACCCCAAAUGUUCCUUCAACUUCUCAUUAUUUGGAUCUCACAACCUGGUCGUUUUGGUCUGGCCUCCGGACCAGUUAUUCCUAAUUGCAGCACAUGUAGCUCUCUUUUCUUUUUUCUUGACAGACAUGUAUCAUUUGUUUUGACAAUCAUGUAGCGCAUUUGUUAAUUAAUGACGGAACUUUGGAAACA